RNAcentral lists this transfer RNA (74 nucleotides) under Marmota monax (woodchuck). Its description in RNAcentral is "tRNA.Ala". The record is from RNAcentral. Lineage: Eukaryota; Metazoa; Chordata; Mammalia; Rodentia; Sciuridae.
CUGGGGUUGUGGCUCAGUGGUAGAGUGCUUGCCUAGCAGGUAUGAGGCAUUGGGUUGGAUUCUCAGACCAUAUA